GGCUGAGAGAUCAGCUGUUCCCUUCGGGGACAGAAUGACAGGUGGUGCAUGGUUGUCGUCAGCUCGUGUCGUGAGAUGUUGGGUUAAGUCCCGCAACGAGCGCAACCCUUAUGAUCAGUUGCCAGCAUUCAGUUGGGCACUCUGGUCAGACUGCCGGUGACAAACCGGAGGAAGGCGGGGAUGACGUCAAAUCAUCAUGCCCCUUAUGACCUGGGCUACACACGUGCUACAAUGGGUGGUACAACGAGCAGCGAGACCGCGAGGUCAAGCGAAUCUCUAAAAACCAUCCUCAGUUCGGAUUGCAGGCUGCAACUCGCCUGCAUGAAGCUGGAAUCGCUAGUAAUCGCGGAUCAACCCGCCGCGGUGAAUACGUUCCCGGGUCUUGUACACACCGGAAUCGAAAUUCCCGC
Molecule: ribosomal RNA, 410 nt
Filed under: uncultured bacterium
Lineage: Bacteria
Description: bacterial SSU rRNA
Rfam family: Bacterial small subunit ribosomal RNA
Source: RNAcentral